RNAcentral lists this ribosomal RNA (653 nucleotides) under Cortinarius translucidus. RNAcentral's name for it is "eukaryotic LSU rRNA". The stretch from base 257 to 410 matches the Rfam family "5.8S ribosomal RNA". Lineage: Eukaryota; Fungi; Basidiomycota; Agaricomycetes; Agaricales; Cortinariaceae. The record is from RNAcentral.
CUGCGGAAGGAUCAUUAUUGAAAUAAAUCUGAUGGGUUGCUGCUGGCUCUCUAGGGAGUAUGUGCACACUUGUCAUCUUUAUGUCUCCACCUGUGCACUUUUUGUAGACUUGGAUAAUCUCUCUGAAUGCUUGCCAUUCAGGUUUGAGGAUUGACUUUCUGUCUCUCCUUACAUUUCCAGGCCUAUGUUUUUUCAUAUACCCCAAUGUAUGUUAUUGAAUGUAAUAAAAUGGGCCUUUGUGCCUAUAAACAUAUACAACUUUCAGCAACGGAUCUCUUGGCUCUCGCAUCGAUGAAGAACGCAGCGAAAUGCGAUAAGUAAUGUGAAUUGCAGAAUUCAGUGAAUCAUCGAAUCUUUGAACGCACCUUGCGCUCCUUGGUAUUCCGAGGAGCAUGCCUGUUUGAGUGUCAUUAAUAUAUCAACCUCUUCGGCUUUUGCUUGUUGAGUGUUGGAUGUGGGGGUUUUUUCUUUUGCUGGUCUCUUUCAUGAGGUCAGCUCCCCUGAAAUGCAUUAGCGGAACAAUUUGUUGACCGUUCAUUGGUGUGAUAACUAUCUACGCUACUGACGUGAAGCAGUUCAGCUUCUAACAACAGUCCAUUGACUUGGACAAAAUUUUUCAUUAAUGUGACCUCAAAUCAGGUAGGACUACCCGC